GGCCUAACACAUGCAAGUCGAGCGGAUGAGAAGAGCUUGCUCUUCGAUUCAGCGGCGGACGGGUGAGUAAUGCCUAGGAAUCUGCCUGAUAGUGGGGGACAACGUUUCGAAAGGAACGCUAAUACCGCAUACGUCCUACGGGAGAAAGCAGGGGACCUUCGGGCCUUGCGCUAUCAGAUGAGCCUAGGUCGGAUUAGCUAGUUGGUGAGGUAAUGGCUCACCAAGGCGACGAUCCGUAACUGGUCUGAGAGGAUGAUCAGUCACACUGGAACUGAGACACGGUCCAGACUCCUACGGGAGGCAGCAGUGGGGAAUAUUGGACAAUGGGCGAAAGCCUGAUCCAGCCGUGCCGCGUGUGUGAAGAAGGUCUUCGGAUUGUAAAGCACUUUAAGUUGGGAGGAAGGGCAUUAACCUAAUACGUUAGUGUUUUGACGUUACCGACAGAAUAAG
RNAcentral lists this ribosomal RNA (450 nucleotides) under uncultured Gammaproteobacteria bacterium. Its description in RNAcentral is "bacterial SSU rRNA". It matches the Rfam family "Bacterial small subunit ribosomal RNA", at positions 45 to 490 of the family's 1533-position model. Lineage: Bacteria; Pseudomonadati; Pseudomonadota; Gammaproteobacteria. The record is from RNAcentral.